CAAGGGAUUCUUUGGAGUAGACUGUAACGCCAAAUGUCCAUACCCGAUGUUUGGAGAGAAAUGCCGGUCUCUAUGUGCGUGUAAUAGCUCGAACUGUGAUCAUGUUAAUGGUUGUAUAUACUCUAUGAAAGAAUAUAAGACUGUUUUUAUGUUGUUUUUGGGCAACGAGACAUAUACAGCCAAAAGUGAUAAUAACCCAAAUGCCAUGCUGGAAAAUGCUGUGAAUAACAGCUCAUCGGAUUGUGUUACAGAGGAAACAAAAUUGUCGAGUGUUUAUUUUUUUAAAGUCAUAAUAAUCGGACUUUCAGUAGCGUCAAUAACCAUUUGUAUGAUAUAUAUUU
Long non-coding RNA from Magallana angulata, 341 nucleotides. RefSeq lists it as uncharacterized. The transcript has 3 exons. The record is from RefSeq and is a predicted model, not a curated record. NCBI's taxonomy places the organism in Eukaryota, Metazoa, Mollusca, Bivalvia, Ostreida, Ostreidae.